UCGAACCUGAGCUCAGGCAAGACUACC
Molecule: ribosomal RNA, 27 nt
Filed under: Hindakia tetrachotoma
Lineage: Eukaryota; Viridiplantae; Chlorophyta; Trebouxiophyceae; Chlorellales; Chlorellaceae
Description: partial 28S ribosomal RNA
Source: RNAcentral